UCAGAUUUAGCUCAGUGGCACUGCACCUGCCUCACAAGCACAAGGUUCUGGGUUCAAUCCCCAGUAUCAAAA
Molecule: transfer RNA, 72 nt
Filed under: Heterocephalus glaber (naked mole-rat)
Lineage: Eukaryota; Metazoa; Chordata; Mammalia; Rodentia; Bathyergidae
Rfam family: tRNA
About the family: Transfer RNA (tRNA) molecules are approximately 80 nucleotides in length. Their secondary structure includes four short double-helical elements and three loops (D, anti-codon, and T loops).
Source: Rfam by way of RNAcentral